GUCUUUUUGGUAUUAAUUUAAGGUUUAACCUGCCCGAUGAAAAUUUGAAUGGCCGCGGUAUUUUGACUGUGCUAAGGUAGCAUAAUCAUUAGUUUUUUAAUUAAAAGCUGGAAUGAAGGGUUGGAUGAAAAAUUAACUGUCUCUAAUUAAUUUUAUUAGAAUUUUAUUUUUAAGUUAAAAAGCUUAAAUAUUUUUAAAAGACGAGAAGACCCUGUAGAGUUUAAUAUAUUUAAUUUAUUAAUAUUAAGAAUUUACUUUUUAUAAUUAUGGUAUAUUUGAUUGGGGUGAUUAAAAAAUUUAAUAAACUUUUUUUAUAAAUUUAUAUUGAUUAAUAAAUUAAUGAUCCAAAAAUUUUGAUUAUAAGAUAAAUUACCUUAGGGAUAACAGCGUAAUUUUAUUAGAGAGUUCUAAUCGAAAAUAAAGUUUGCGA
Molecule: ribosomal RNA, 430 nt
Filed under: Longitarsus cerinthes
Lineage: Eukaryota; Metazoa; Arthropoda; Insecta; Coleoptera; Chrysomelidae
Description: partial 16S large subunit ribosomal RNA
Source: RNAcentral